GGCAGGUGCUCUGGGCAAAUGAUGCCUCUUGAGCUUAGUUGAACUGAGCUAAACAAACCAGGAAGUAACAGGACAUGUUGUCUGAGCCAGCAAGGGGUGUAACAAGAUUAAUUUGUCAUUUAUCUAUUGAAAUCUGCACUUUUUGAAAAAUAAAAUUGAAAAAAAGAGGACAAGCUUCACGCAUAAAGCACUUCAGCAACCUAUCCUAGCAAC
Molecule: non-coding RNA, 213 nt
Organism: Pelobates cultripes (western spadefoot toad)
Lineage: Eukaryota; Metazoa; Chordata; Amphibia; Anura; Pelobatidae
Source: the annotation of a GenBank genome assembly